This is a long non-coding RNA of Hemiscyllium ocellatum (epaulette shark), 299 nucleotides long. RefSeq lists it as uncharacterized. The transcript has 3 exons. The record is from RefSeq and is a predicted model, not a curated record. Lineage: Eukaryota; Metazoa; Chordata; Chondrichthyes; Orectolobiformes; Hemiscylliidae.
CCAAAAUCACUUUGUUUCAAGGGAGCACAAAGAGGAAGCAGACCUAGAUAGAGAAGAAGAGAGGAACUAUGUAAAGAAGAACUUUUCAUAUGAAAAAGAUGAGCAAAAUUCUGUACAUUCAUCAGUUAACCACAAGUGGGAUGGUGCGUCAGAUCUUAAAACUGAUUUGAAGGAACGAUGGACAUCACAUGACUUGCAGCUGAUGAGUGAUCAUCAAGAAUCUUUUAGUAGUCGGCCUCCAUUAUCAUCUGUUUAUUCUGGCAGAGAAUUGAGGGAAGUAAGAGAAAAUGAUACAUUGA